Molecule: long non-coding RNA, 1037 nt
Organism: Eleginops maclovinus (Patagonian blennie)
Lineage: Eukaryota; Metazoa; Chordata; Actinopteri; Perciformes; Eleginopidae
Exons: 5
Source: RefSeq, a predicted model, not a curated record
GGCAAAAUACAUUUUCUCGGCAGAGGCUUUUUGAGGAAAGACUUCCACAGCUUGUAUAAGCAGGGGGAGUUUGCUCAGUUGUCAUCACAUCACCAAAGACCUGCAACAUGCCACAGUGAGGGGCCAGAGUUUGGAUCAUGAGCCAAUGGAAGUCUGGACAGAGACCCGGGGUGCAGCCUCUGCAGCUCCGAGGAAGACCAUGAAAUGCCUAUGAAACUUGAUGAAGGGUCGGAGGUGUGUGGAGGAGGAUUUCCAGAACAUCGCAUCUUCCCUUGGUUGAGGAUUUAAAGUGGUGAAUAAUGCAUGGAGGAAAGCAUCCGUCACUCCGAGCUGCCUCUUCUGGACAGCAGGGGAUCUGAAGGAAAGGACAUAAAUCUGUGUUGGCGGCAAACAGCAGUUGGAACAUUGGCAGAUGGACUUGUAACGCGCCGCUGAUGUGGCUGCACACAGUCACAGCAAAAGGGGGUGGUAAGAGUUUGAUGUUGGUAUCACCUCAGUCGUGCCGUAGGGGCCCCGGGGGUAUAUCGUAUUAUGAGGCAGCCAGACGCUACAUCAAACCUGUUGGGCUGAAAGGUCACAGGAAUGGCCUCUACCCAUACGAGGAAAUUAACUUUUUUAUUUGACCCCAUUCUGGCAGCCUGAUUGAUUUCAAAGUCCAAGCUCACACGGCUGAGAAUAUAAUGUUUGGGCUAACAAAUGUGUCAAACGUCCCAUGAUACACUUGUGUUGGGUUUCAUUUGUACAAUUCUGAAUAAUUAAAGGGUAAUUCAUCUACACUAGUUGUAAACCCCAAGAUUAGCAUGAUUGCCAUGAAAUGAAUCCAUUUAAAGGUAAACGUGUUAAAACUCUACGACCUGCUUUUUAAACAUGUAAUGCCGUGUGCAUGACCAUUCAAGAGGCUCCAUAUCCCAACAUCACGCCAAGAGCUUAUUCAUCUUUUAUUUUCGCACGACAGCAGACAGCUUAAGCAGAGGAAAUAUUUGUACCACACGUUGGAAAAAUGUAUAUGUGAAAACAAACAACAAAAAACUAUACAA